UUUCUUAAAGGGACACUUGUACAGUACUGCUAGUCCCAUAUUUUCUCUUCUCAGAGGACCCUCAUCUUGUUUGGCUUUUACUUCUGUUAACAAACCUUGGAAAGAUUUCAGAUUUAACUAGGAAGACUGUCUUGCCCAGGUCCUGUGACCACACUUCGGGGCUGCUGCUGUACAGUGGGAUGACUGGUGCCCACCUGGUUUGGUAGAGCAGAAAGCAUCCAGCUCCCCAUGUGCUCAUUCAGGACUGCUGUAUUACAUCACUGCAUCCUCCUCACUGAUCUCCAAGGCAGCGGGCAGGAGCUGCAGAAGAGGCCACUGUCCCUGUCUCAAAGGCUCAGACCAUACAUCUGUCAUCCUCGAGGUCCUUCGGGUACUGUGAAUCAAGACCCAGACCUUGACUUGUGAUAGAACCGUGACAAUCAGCACUGAACCAGUGUUUCCCAGAGUGUGAUUCCUGUACCACUCUGCUGGUAACCAGAUGACUGGGGAGGAGGAGCUCAGCCAUAGGCAUUAAAUAACCAGUUGCAUAGCAGAAAGAGAGUCCCCUCUCCAUUCUUUAUUGUAUCAUCAUCAUCAUCAUCAUCAUCAUCAUCAUCAUCAUCACCACCACAUUAACUCCCACUAUAUGAAAAGGUCAUUUUUGUAAAGACAGACAAAUCUCAGCAAUCUCAUAACUUGACCUAAAGGGAUAUCUUAGACAUACUAGAAGUUCCACAGAAGAAGAAAUGAAUAGGUACAAAACAGUGCGGUUCUGCUCAAAUCCCCUGUGACUCCUUCCCCAGUAUGCUUCACACUAGAAUGUUCUCCUGGGCAUAGCCUGUUGCUUUGAUUUUGGCUGCUAUUGUGAGAGUCCCCUUAUUUCAUUUUCAACAGUUUGUCUGUUAUGUGCCUUGGUGAGAUUUUCUUGAAUUUACCCUGCUUACGUUUGCUGAGCUUCUCCAAUCUGUAUUCCUUUCAACAAAUUUGAGGAGUUUUUAAUAAACAUUUCUUCAAAUAUUUUUCCACUUCAUUAUCUCUGCCCUCCUUCACUGAUUCCAUAUAUAUGUAUAAGUUGAAUCUUCUAAUAUUGUCCAGCAGAUCAUUGAAGUUUGUUUUAAAAAUAAUUUUCUCUCUGUUCUUCAAAUUGAAUGUCUAUUGCUUCACCUUAAAAGUUAUCUUUCCUCUGUCUUUUCCAUUUUGCUGUUAAUUCCAUCCAAUAACUUAAAAUUUCACAUAUUAUCCAUUUCAUAUUGGUGAUUUCCAUUGGAUUAUUCUAAAAUUUUUUAUGUUUUUAUAAGCAUAUUUUCCUUUACACUUAUUAUGUCUUUUUUUUAAUCCAUGGCUAUAAUCACUGCUGGAAAAAAAAUCUUCACUUUUUGGAAAAAGAAAAAAAUCCUCAGUUCCAACAUUUGUGUUGUUUUGGGGUCCAUGUUCGCUGGUUUUCUUUCUCUCUUGAGAAGUGAUCAACUUACUUCUUCAGCUGUCAAGUAAUUUUGAAUUGUAUACUGGACAUAAUGAAUGUGCCAUAAACUCUGGAUUCUGGUAUAAUCUAAACAGUGUUGAUUAUCUUUGUUUGCUAGUUUUAGUAGAGACAUAAUUUGGGUGGAAUCAAAUGCAAAGUCACCUGGCCUGCCUGGCUCCCACCAUACUGGCUGGUAGACUGCAGCUCCAAUCUCCACUCAGCUCCUACAGCUUAGAUGAACUUCUUGCCAUCUGUCCUGUGGAUAUACACAUGCUGCAGGGUCAGCUGGACAUUUGGGCAGUUUGUACACAAAAUCUGGGACUACUCAUCUCUCUCUCUCUCCUCGCUGGGAUUUCAACCUCCACUUUCCAGCAAUUAUUUUUGCCCCCAAUUCUGUCCUCUCAUUAUUUAAGACAGUAAAAGAUUCUUUUUAAAAAAAAAAAAUUACAACUGUAAAAUAUUCUUUUAAAAAAUAUUCAAUUUUAGCUGGCUUGUGCAG
This 1940-nucleotide long non-coding RNA is filed under the name Heterocephalus glaber (naked mole-rat). RNAcentral describes it as "lncRNA (ENSHGLG00000033299.1)". The record is from RNAcentral. Lineage: Eukaryota; Metazoa; Chordata; Mammalia; Rodentia; Bathyergidae.